UGGUCGAAAGGGCAAACCUGUCGAAAGGCAGGGGCGCAAAGCCAUGGGCCUGUCGGGAGUAAAACUUCCUAUGGUUGCCAGGCUGCCGAA
This is a non-coding RNA of Caldicellulosiruptor saccharolyticus DSM 8903, 90 nucleotides long. NCBI's taxonomy places the organism in Bacteria, Bacillati, Bacillota, Caldicellulosiruptorales, Caldicellulosiruptoraceae. The record is from Rfam.